This 549-nucleotide ribosomal RNA is filed under the name uncultured bacterium. RNAcentral's name for it is "bacterial SSU rRNA". It matches the Rfam family "Bacterial small subunit ribosomal RNA", at positions 240 to 803 of the family's 1533-position model. The record is from RNAcentral.
AUUAGCUAGUUGGAGAGGUAAGAGCUCACCAAGGCUUCGAUCGGUAGCCGGUCUGAGAGGACGGACGGCCACACUGGGACUGAGACACGGCCCAGACUCCUACGGGAGGCAGCAGUGGGGAAUUUUGGGCAAUGGGCGGAAGCCUGACCCAGCAACGCCGCGUGGAGGACGAAGGUUUUCGGAUCGUAAACUCCUGUCCGGAGGGACGAAGCAAGUGACGGUACCUCUGGAGGAAGCCCCGGCUAACUCCGUGCCAGCAGCCGCGGUAAUACGGGGGGGGCAAGCGUUGUUCGGAAUUACUGGGCGUAAAGGGCGCGUAGGCGGCCUCGGAAGUCAUGGGUGAAAGCCCCGAGCUCAACUCGGGAACGGCCUGUGAAACCACGGGGCUGGAGUGCUGGAGAGGGAAGCGGAAUUCCCAGUGUAGCGGUGAAAUGCGUAGAUAUUGGGAGGAACACCGGUGGCGUAGGCGGCUUCCUGGACAGACACUGACGCUGAGGCGCGAAAGCCAGGGGAGCGAACGGGAUUAGAUACCCCGGUAGUCCUGGCUGU